This 497-nucleotide ribosomal RNA is filed under the name uncultured bacterium. RNAcentral's name for it is "partial 16S ribosomal RNA". It matches the Rfam family "Bacterial small subunit ribosomal RNA", at positions 28 to 507 of the family's 1533-position model. The record is from RNAcentral.
GACGAACGCUGGCGGCGUGCCUAAUACAUGCAAGUAGAACGCUGAAGAGAGGAGCUUGCUCUUCUUGGAUGAGUUGCGAACGGGUGAGUAACGCGUAGGUAACCUGCCUUGUAGCGGGGGAUAACUAUUGGAAACGAUAGCUAAUACCGCAUAACAAUGGAUGACACAUGUCAUUUAUUUGAAAGGGGCAAUUGCUCCACUACAAGAUGGACCUGCGUUGUAUUAGCUAGUAGGUGAGGUAAUGGCUCACCUAGGCGACGAUACAUAGCCGACCUGAGAGGGUGAUCGGCCACACUGGGACUGAGACACGGCCCAGCAUCCUACGGGAGGCAGCAGUAGGGAAUCUUCGGCAAUGGGGGCAACCCUGACCGAGCAACGCCGCGUGAGUGAAGAAGGUUUUCGGAUCGUAAAGCUCUGUUGUAAGUCAAGAACGGGUGUGAGAGUGGAAAGUUCACACUGUGACGGUAGCUUACCAGAAAGGGACGGCUAACUACGUG